GGAAUUUUGGACAAUGGGCGCAAGCCUGAUCCAGCAAUGCCGCGUGAGUGAAGAAGGCCUUCGGGUUGUAAAGCUCUUUUGUCAGGGAAGAAACGGGUCUUUCUAAUACAGAGAUCUAAUGACGGUACCUGAAGAAUAAGCACCGGCUAACUACGUGCCAGCAGCCGCGGUAAUACGUAGGGUGCAAGCGUUAAUCGGAAUUACUGGGCGUAAAGCGUGCGCAGGCGGUUUUGUAAGACUGUCGUGAAAUCCCCGGGCUCAACCUGGGAAUGGCGAUGGUGACUGCAAGGCUAGAGUUUGGCAGAGGGGGGUAGAAUUCCACGUGUAGCAGUGAAAUGCGUAGAUAUGUGGAGGAACACCGAUGGCGAAGGCAGCCCCCUGGGUCAAAACUGACGCUCAUGCACGAAAGCGUGGGGAGCAAACAGGAUUAGAUACCCUGG
Molecule: ribosomal RNA, 440 nt
Filed under: uncultured Duganella sp.
Lineage: Bacteria; Pseudomonadati; Pseudomonadota; Betaproteobacteria; Burkholderiales; Oxalobacteraceae
Description: bacterial SSU rRNA
Rfam family: Bacterial small subunit ribosomal RNA
Source: RNAcentral